This 492-nucleotide ribosomal RNA is filed under the name uncultured bacterium. RNAcentral describes it as "partial 16S ribosomal RNA". It matches the Rfam family "Bacterial small subunit ribosomal RNA", at positions 29 to 507 of the family's 1533-position model. The record is from RNAcentral.
AGUGAACGCUGGCGGUAGGCCUAACACAUGCAAGUCGAACGGCAGCACAGUAAGAGCUUGCUCUUACGGGUGGCGAGUGGCGGACGGGUGAGGAAUACAUCGGAAUCUACUUUUUCGUGGGGGAUAACGUAGGGAAACUUACGCUAAUACCGCAUACGACUUACGGGUGAAAGCAGGGGAUCUUCGGACUUUGCGCGAUUGAAUGAGCCGAUGUCGGAUUAGCUAGUUGGCGGGGUAAAGGCCCACCAAGGCGACGAUCCGUAGCUGGUCUGAGAGGAUGAUCAGCCACACUGGAACUGAGACACGGUCCAGACUCCUACGGGAGGCAGCAGUGGGGAAUAUUGGACAAUGGGCGCAAGCCUGAUCCAGCCAUACCGCGUGGGUGAAGAAGGCCUUCGGGUUGUAAAGCCCUUUUGUUGGGAAAGAAAAGCAGCAGGUUAAUACCCCGCUGUUCUGACGGUACCCAAAGAAUAAGCACCGGCUAACUUCGUG